Molecule: long non-coding RNA, 2222 nt
Filed under: Homo sapiens (human)
Lineage: Eukaryota; Metazoa; Chordata; Mammalia; Primates; Hominidae
Description: HSALNT0334475
Source: RNAcentral
AGAUCUCCAGAGCUAUCCUGCCGCCAUCCCAGAGUGCCCCGUAUAAUGCUCAUGCUUGGAACCCUAUGUCCAAGUUGUAAGGAAGCCCAAGCAGCCCAUAAAGAGGCCCACGUUAAGAAGAACCAGGACCCACAGUCUAAGUGAACUCUCAGCUAAUAGCACCAUUUUGCCAACCAUGAGUCAAACUGGCAGCUUCAAGGACCUUGGCUGAAAUUGGUCCAUUUGGAUAUGUGUGCUUGUUUCUGCAAUGUCCUGAAUGACUGUGGGAAAGGGCUUCACAAGGCUUCAUAAGACACCUGGAUCUCAUAUCUGCUUCUGCAUUCAAUCUGUUGCACCAAGUUGUUUUGACUGAAGGGUAUGAAGAAAAACUGGCCUCAUCCAAAUAUGCGGUUGGAAAAGGGUGGAGUAUUUUAACAGCCCUUCAAAUAAUUGGUCCCAGUGAUCAAGCUUUGUCUCCAGCAUCAUUUUACCCUUUAUUCUUGGAAGGGACACUGGAGGCGACUGAUUCCAACCCCUCGACUUGAAAGUUGAAAGAUGCAAAGCACAGAGCAGGGGAUGACAUGCUCAAGGCCCCAUCACCAGUCGGAGGCAGACCUGCAUAGAACUUGGGACAUAAAUGUAGGCACACACAAAACCCAGAGACAUUCCACCGACAUUUAAAAUCAAGAAUCCUCCCUGAUAUAGUAUGACCUUGUAAAUGAUGCAAAGGGUUUGAACAAUUCAAAACAAACAAACAAACAAAAAAACAGGUCUAGGAUAAGUUUUUUCAAAAUCAUCAAAUAUAAAUUUCAACCCAAUUUUUUAAUUUCAUAAAACCAAGGUUAAAAGAGGUUGAGUGAUUAGUUAAAAGUUAUGGGCAAGUGAUGGUAACGUCAAGCCUCUAAUUCAUAUAUUUGCCAAGCUCUAGCUUUGAAUGAUAUUGUAACUCGAAAGGAAUAAUGUUGUUCUUUUUAGAAAAUAACAUGGUCAUGGUAGACCACUUGGAAAAAUAUACAUAAACAUAAGGACAAAGUGACCCAUACAUUAAAGAUAAUCACUGUUAAUAUUUUUAUUAAAUGAAAAGCAUUACAUGUAACUUUACCUAAGUUUAUCAGAAAAAAAGAAUUAAAGAGGGUCGGUAUGGUGGUUCACGCCUAUAAUCCCAGCACUCUGGGAGGCCAAGGUGAGAAGAUCACUUGAGCCCAGGAGUUUGAGACCAGCCUAAGCAACAUAGGAAGACCCCAUCUCUGCAAAACAAACAAACGAAAACGAGGUGGGCAUAGUGGCAUGCACUGGUGGUCCCAACUACUUGGGAGCCUGAGGUGGGAGGAUCAUUUGAGCCUGGGAAGUUGAGGCUGAAAUGAACCAUGAUCAUGCCAGCCUGGGGAACAGAGUGAGACCUUGUGUAAAAUAAAAUAAAAUAAGAAAUGUAAGAAAUAUGAGAAAUUGCUGACUUUCAGAAAAAGAUUUCUUUAAAACAAGAAAUAUUCAUUUCCUGAAGGAGUCUUCUAUACUUUAAAUACAAAUCUCAAGAAAAAUAAAUUUAUGUUUCUAGAUGUAAAAUCUGUCAUCUGUCUUAAGAAAAUCAGAAGAUGUUAUAAUACCGAUAUCUAAAUAAAAUUUUAAGACUUCUAUUUUCUAAUUUAAAAACAACCUGAGCCUACUUAAGAAUAAAAUCAUGGAAAAAGGCAAAUUUAUAAAAUAUUAUAUAAAAGUAACAAAAGCAGUGGUAGAAAAAAAAAUAGCCACAUAGAGAAGUAACUGUAAUGGUCAUAUAUGCAAUAAACAAAAAAUAAAUUUACAAGAACAGUUAGUGACUCUCUUAAUUCCAACUCUAAGUUUCUUGACCUGUGGGAGUUUGGAUUUGCUGUUUCAGAAAACACCAUUUUAUUCACUUCAUUAACGGCACAAAUUUUUACUCGCUUCAUUAAACAAUCAUGUCUGUCUCAUUUUUUUCCUCCUAAAAUUCCUAAAUGCAUUUCUACUGGUGUUGAAGAGAGCAGACAUAAGCCAUUAUCUCAUUGGUAACUCCACAAAAUUGAACUUCCAGGUUCCUAAUUCUAUCAUUUGUGUUAUUAUAGCAAAUGUGUUCUUUAAUAAAGUCAUUCAUCAUAGAACCCUCUGAGUUGGUGUCUCACUUUCAAUGGAUCGGGUUUUUCACCUGCUGUAUAAUGGUCAUAACUGGAUUUCUCUUCAUCUAAAUCUGGGGUUAUUUCAGCUGUUUCAUGUAUCUCAUAUCUUCC